Molecule: ribosomal RNA, 881 nt
Filed under: uncultured archaeon
Lineage: Archaea
Description: bacterial SSU rRNA
Rfam family: Archaeal small subunit ribosomal RNA
Source: RNAcentral
CCGGUUGAUCCUGCCGGAGGCUACCGCUAUUGGAGUUCGAUUAAGCCAUGCGAGUCGCGAGUCUUAGGGACUCGGCGUACCGCUCAGUAACACGUGGGUAACCUGCCCUAUGCUGGGGGAUAACCUCGGGAAACUGAGAAUAAUACCCCAUAGUUCACCACGCCUGGAACGGUUGGUGGACCAAAGCUCCGGCGGCAUAGGAUGGGCCUGCGGCGUAUCAGGUUGUAGGGGGUGUAAUGUACCCUCUAGCCCUCUACGCGUACGGGUGUUGAGAGACAUCGCCCGGAGAUGGAUUCUGAGACACGAAUCCAGACCCUACGGGGUGCAGCAGGCGCGAAAACUUGGCAAUGCGAGAAAUCGUGACCAGGGAACUCCAAGUGCAUUGGGUAAGACCGAUGCUUUUCUUGACUCUUCAAAGGUCUUGGAAUAAGGGGUGGGUAAGGACGGUGCCAGCCGCCGCGGUAAUACCGGCGCCCCAAGUGGUAGUCGCUUUUAUUGGGCCUAAAACGUCCGUAGCCGGUCUGGUACAUUCGUGGGUAAAUCAACCAGCUCAACUGGUUGAAUUCUGCGAGCACGGCCAGACUUGGGACCGGGAGAGGUGUGGGGUACUCUCAGGGUAGGGGUAAAAUCCUGUCAUCCUGAGAGGACCACCUGUUGCGAAGGCGCCACACUAGAACGGAUCCGACGGUCAGGGACGAAGCCUAGGGGCACGAACCGGAUUAGAUACCCGGGUAGUCCUAGGUGUAAACGCUGUGGACUUGAUGUUGGGGGCGCUCCGAGCGCACUCAGUGUCGAAGCGAAGGUGAUAAGUCCACUGCCUGGGGAGUACGGUCGCAAGGCUGAAACUUAAAGGAAUUGGCGGGGGAGCACCGCAACCUGAG